UUAAGCGACUAAGCGUACACGGUGGAUGCCCUGGCAGUCAGAGGCGAUGAAGGACGUGCUAAUCUGCGAAAAGCGUCGGUAAGGUGAUAUGAACCGUUAUAACCGGCGAUGUCCGAAUGGGGAAACCCAGUGNCACUAUCGUUAACUGAAUACAUAGGUUAACGAGGCGAACCGGGGGAACUGAAACAUCUAAGUACCCCGAGGAAAAGAAAUCAACCGAGAUUCCCCCAGUAGCGGCGAGCGAACGGGGAGCAGCCCAGAGUCUGAAUCAGCUUGUGUGUUAGUGGAACGGUCUGGAAAGUCCGACGGUACAGGGUGAUAGUCCCGUACACCAAAAUGCACAGGUUGUGAACUCGAAGAGUAGGGCGGGACACGUGGUAUCCUGUCUGAAUAUGGGGGGACCAUCCUCCAAGGCUAAAUACUCCUGACUGACCGAUAGUGAACCAGUACCGUGAGGGAAAGGCGAAAAGAACCCCGGCGAGGGGAGUGAAAAAGAACCUGAAACCGUGUACGUACAAGCAGUGGGAGCACCUUCGGGUGUGACUGCGUACCUUUUGUAUAAUGGGUCAGCGACUUAUAUUCUGUAGCAAGGUUAACCGUAUAGGGGAGCCGCAGGGAAACCGAGUCUUAACUGGGCGUUAAGUUGCAGGGUAUAGACCCGAAACCCGGUGAUCUAGCCAUGGGCAGGUUGAAGGUUGGGUAACACUAACUGGAGGACCGAACCGACUAAUGUUGAAAAAUUAGCGGAUGACUUGUGGCUGGGGGUGAAAGGCCAAUCAAACCGGGAGAUAGCUGGUUCUCCCCGAAAGCUAUUUAGGUAGCGCCUCGUGAAUUCAUCUUCGGGGGUAGAGCACUGUUUCGGCUAGGGGGUCAUCCCGACUUACCAACCCGAUGCAAACUACGAAUACCGAAGAAUGUUAUCACGGGAGACACACGGCGGGUGCUAACGUCCGUCGUGAAGAGGGAAACAACCCAGACCGCCAGCUAAGGUCCCAAAGUCAUGGUUAAGUGGGAAACGAUGUGGGAAGGCACAGACAGCCAGGAUGUUGGCUUAGAAGCAGCCAUCAUUUAAAGAAAGCGUAAUAGCUCACUGGUCGAGUCGGCCUGCGCGGAAGAUGUAACGGGGCUAAACCAUGCACCGAAGCUGCGGCAGCGACACUAUGUGUUGUUGGGUAGGGGAGCGUUCUGUAAGCCUGCGAAGGUGACCUGUGAGGGUUGCUGGAGGUAUCAGAAGUGCGAAUGCUGACAUAAGUAACGAUAAAGCGGGUGAAAAGCCCGCUCGCCGGAAGACCAAGGGUUCCUGUCCAACGUUAAUCGGGGCAGGGUGAGUCGACCCCUAAGGCGAGGCCGAAAGGCGUAGUCGAUGGGAAACAGGUUAAUAUUCCUGUACUUGGUGUUACUGCGAAGGGGGGACGGAGAAGGCUAUGUUAGCCGGGCGACGGUUGUCCCGGUUUAAGCAUGUAGGCUGAUUAUCCAGGCAAAUCCGGAUAAUCAAGGCUGAGGUGUGAUGACGAGGCACUACGGUGCUGAAGUAACAAAUGCCCUGCUUCCAGGAAAAGCCUCUAAGCAUCAGGUAACAUCAAAUCGUACCCCAAACCGACACAGGUGGUCAGGUAGAGAAUACCAAGGCGCUUGAGAGAACUCGGGUGAAGGAACUAGGCAAAAUGGUGCCGUAACUUCGGGAGAAGGCACGCUGGUGUGUAGGUGAAGUCCCUGCGGAUGGAGCUGAGACCAGUCGAAGAUACCAGCUGGCUGCAACUGUUUAUUAAAAACACAGCACUGUGCAAACACGAAAGUGGACGUAUACGGUGUGACGCCUGCCCGGUGCCGGAAGGUUAAUUGAUGGGGUUAUCCGUAAGGAGAAGCUCUUGAUCGAAGCCCCGGUAAACGGCGGCCGUAACUAUAACGGUCCUAAGGUAGCGAAAUUCCUUGUCGGGUAAGUUCCGACCUGCACGAAUGGCGUAAUGAUGGCCAGGCUGUCUCCACCCGAGACUCAGUGAAAUUGAACUCGCUGUGAAGAUGCAGUGUACCCGCGGCAAGACGGAAAGACCCCGUGAACCUUUACUAUAGCUUGACACUGAACAUUGAGCCUUGAUGUGUAGGAUAGGUGGGAGGCUUUGAAGCGUGGACGCCAGUCUGCGUGGAGCCAACCUUGAAAUACCACCCUUUAAUGUUUGAUGUUCUAACGUUGGCCCCUGACCGGGGUUGCGGACAGUGUCUGGUGGGUAGUUUGACUGGGGCGGUCUCCUCCCAAAGCGUAACGGAGGAGCACGAAGGUUAGCUAAUCCUGGUCGGACAUCAGGAGGUUAGUGCAAUGGCAUAAGCUAGCUUGACUGCGAGCGUGACGGCGCGAGCAGGUGCGAAAGCAGGUCAUAGUGAUCCGGUGGUUCUGAAUGGAAGGGCCAUCGCUCAACGGAUAAAAGGUACUCCGGGGAUAACAGGCUGAUACCGCCCAAGAGUUCAUAUCGACGGCGGUGUUUGGCACCUCGAUGUCGGCUCAUCACAUCCUGGGGCUGAAGUAGGUCCCAAGGGUAUGGCUGUUCGCCAUUUAAAGUGGUACGCGAGCUGGGUUUAGAACGUCGUGAGACAGUUCGGUCCCUAUCUGCCGUGGGCGCUGGAGAAUUGAGGGGGGCUGCUCCUAGUACGAGAGGACCGGAGUGGACGCAUCACUGGUGUUCGGGUUGUCAUGCCAAUGGCACUGCCCGGUAGCUAAAUGCGGAAGAGAUAAGUGCUGAAAGCAUCUAAGCACGAAACUUGCCCCGAGAUGAGUUCUCCCUGAGACUUUAAGUCUCCUGAAGGAACGUUAAAGACGAUGACGUUGAUAGGCCGGGUGUGUAAGCGCAGCGAUGCGUUGAGCUAACCGGUACUAAUGAACCGUGAGGCUUAACCUU
This 2891-nucleotide ribosomal RNA is filed under the name Klebsiella pneumoniae. Its description in RNAcentral is "bacterial LSU rRNA". It matches the Rfam family "Bacterial large subunit ribosomal RNA". The record is from RNAcentral. Lineage: Bacteria; Pseudomonadati; Pseudomonadota; Gammaproteobacteria; Enterobacterales; Enterobacteriaceae.